Molecule: ribosomal RNA, 497 nt
Filed under: uncultured bacterium
Lineage: Bacteria
Description: partial 16S ribosomal RNA
Rfam family: Bacterial small subunit ribosomal RNA
Source: RNAcentral
GAUGAACGCUGGCGGCGUGCCUAAUACAUGCAAGUCGAGCGAACAGACGAGGAGCUUGCUCCUCUGACGUUAGCGGCGGACGGGUGAGUAACACGUGGAUAACCUACCUAUAAGACUGGGAUAACUUCGGGAAACCGGAGCUAAUACCGGAUAAUAUAUUGAACCGCAUGGUUCAAUAGUGAAAGACGGUUUUGCUGUCACUUAUAGAUGGAUCCGCGCCGCAUUGGCUAGUUGGUAAGGUAACGGCUUACCAAGGCAACGAUGCGUAGCCGACCUGAGAGGCUGGUCGGCCACACUGGAACUGAGACACGGUCCAUGCUCCUGCGGGAGGCAGCAGUAGGGAAUCUUCCGCAAUGGGCGAAAGCCUGACGGAGCAACGCCGCGUGAGUGAUGAAGGUCUUCGGAUCGUAAAACUCUGUUAUUAGUGAAGAACAAAUGUGUAAGUAACUAUGCACGUCUUGACGGUACCUAAUCAGAAAGCCACGGCUAACUACGUG